UUCUGGGAGGGUUGACAGAUUGAGAGCUCUUUCUUGAUUCGGUAGAUGGCGCUGCAUGUCCGUUCUUAGUUGGUGGAGCUAUUUGUCUGGUUAAUUCCGAUAACGAACGAAACUCUAGCCUAUUACAUAGGUGCGUGAUUCUCUGCACGUUGCACCUUUCUUAGAGGGACAAGCGGCUCCUAGCCGCACGAAACAGAGCAAUAACAGGUCUGUGAUGCCCAGAGAU
RNAcentral lists this ribosomal RNA (226 nucleotides) under Ixodes scapularis (black-legged tick). RNAcentral describes it as "eukaryotic small subunit ribosomal RNA". It matches the Rfam family "Eukaryotic small subunit ribosomal RNA", at positions 1229 to 1478 of the family's 1831-position model. The record is from RNAcentral. Lineage: Eukaryota; Metazoa; Arthropoda; Arachnida; Ixodida; Ixodidae.